This 263-nucleotide ribosomal RNA is filed under the name uncultured bacterium. RNAcentral's name for it is "partial 16S ribosomal RNA". It matches the Rfam family "Bacterial small subunit ribosomal RNA", at positions 90 to 354 of the family's 1533-position model. The record is from RNAcentral.
UCUUAGUGGCGGACGGGUGAGUAACGCGUGGGCAACCUGCCCUGUACCGGGGGAUAACACUUAGAAAUAGGUGCUAAUACCGCAUAAUAGGGAAUACCGCAUGGUAAUCCUUUGAAAACUCCGGUGGUACAGGAUGGGCCCGCGUCUGAUUAGCCAGUUGGCGGGGUAACGGCCCACCAAAGCGACGAUCAGCAGCCGGCCUGAGAGGGUGGACGGCCACACUGGGACUGAGACACGGCCCAGACUCCUACGGGAGGCAGCAG